Molecule: non-coding RNA, 493 nt
Filed under: Saccharomyces cerevisiae YJM1341
Lineage: Eukaryota; Fungi; Ascomycota; Saccharomycetes; Saccharomycetales; Saccharomycetaceae
Also listed under: 1 other name
Source: RNAcentral
AGAUAUUUAUAUUAUUAAUAGGAAAGUCAUAAAUAUAUAAAUUAUAUUAUAUAAUUAAUAUAAUAAUAAAAUAAAUUAUAUAUUUUAUUUAUAAUAUUAUUUCUUUAUAAGAUAAAUAUUAUCUAAUUAAUAAUUAGAUUGAAUAAUAUUUAUAAAGAAAUAUAUAUAUAUAUAUAAAGUCAUUAUAUAAAUUAAAUUAUAAUUUAAAUAAAUUUUAUAUAAAUUAAUAUAAUAUUAAUAAAGUAAUUAGUAUAAAUAAAUAAUAUGAAAAUAAAACUUAAUAAAUAUAUAAAUAUAGUCCGGCCCGCCCCCCGCGGGAGGCGGGCGGACCCCGAAGGAGUGAGGGACCCCUCCCUAACCUAAUGGGAGGGGGACCGAACCCCUUUUUAAGAAGGAGUCCAUAUAUAUAUAUUAAUAAAAAGUAAUAUAUAUAUAUAUAUUGGAAUAGUUAUAUUAUUAUACAGAAAUAUGCUUAAUUAUAAUAUAAUAUCCA